CCCUUAGAUGUUCUGGGCCGCACGCGCGCUACACUGAUGCAUUCAACGAGCCUAUCCUUGACCGACAGGUCCGGGUAAUCUUUGAAUCUGCAUCGUGACGGGGAUAGAAUAUUGUAAUUAUUACUCUUCAACGAGGAAUUCCUAGUAAGCGCCAGUCAGCAGCUUGCGCUGAUUACGUCCCUGCCCUUUGUACACACCGCCCGUCGCUCCUACCGAUGGGUGAUCCGGUGAAUGAUUCGGACUUCAGCGGCUCCCCUGGGGUGCGCCGGAGAAAGUUUUGUGAACCUUAUCACUUGGAGGAAGGAGAAGUCGUAACA
This 317-nucleotide ribosomal RNA is filed under the name uncultured eukaryote. RNAcentral describes it as "partial 18S ribosomal RNA". It matches the Rfam family "Eukaryotic small subunit ribosomal RNA", at positions 1470 to 1796 of the family's 1831-position model. The record is from RNAcentral.